This 253-nucleotide ribosomal RNA is filed under the name uncultured bacterium. RNAcentral describes it as "partial 16S ribosomal RNA". It matches the Rfam family "Bacterial small subunit ribosomal RNA", at positions 524 to 776 of the family's 1533-position model. The record is from RNAcentral.
GACAGAGGGGGCAAGCGUUGCUCGGAAUCACUGGGCGUAAAGGGCGCGUAGGCGGGAUGGCAAGUCAGUCGUGAAAUCUCUCGGCUCAACCGAGAAACGUCGGCUGAUACUGCCGUUCUUGAGGGAUGCAGAGGCCAGUGGAAUUGCCGGUGUAGUGGUGAAAUGCGUAGAGAUCGGCAGGAACACCCAAGGGGAAGCCAGCUGGCUGGGCAUUUGCUGACGCUCAUGUGCGACAGCGUGGGGAGCGAACUGG